CCCUGAAGAUGGGGAUAGCUAGUAGAAAUAUUAGAUAAUACCGAAUGUGCUUAUACGGAUAAAGCCGUAUAAGGAAAGGAGCUACGGCUCCGCUUUAGGAUGGGCCUGCGUCCCAUUAGCUUGUUGGUGAGGUAACGGCCCACCAAGGCGACGAUGGGUAUCCGGCCUGAGAGGGUGAACGGACACAUUGGGACUGAGAUACGGCCCAAACUCCUACGGGAGGCAGCAGCUAAGAAUCUUCCGCAAUGGACGAAAGUCUGACGGAGCGACGCCGCGUGAAUGAAGAAGGCUGAAAAGUUGUAAAAUUCUUUUGCAUAUGAAAAAUAAGGAGAUGAGGGAAUGCAUCUUCGAUGACGGUAAUCAUGCGAAUAAGGGGCGGCUAAUUA
RNAcentral lists this ribosomal RNA (386 nucleotides) under uncultured bacterium. Its description in RNAcentral is "bacterial SSU rRNA". It matches the Rfam family "Bacterial small subunit ribosomal RNA", at positions 129 to 503 of the family's 1533-position model. The record is from RNAcentral.